Molecule: ribosomal RNA, 253 nt
Filed under: uncultured bacterium
Lineage: Bacteria
Description: partial 16S ribosomal RNA
Rfam family: Bacterial small subunit ribosomal RNA
Source: RNAcentral
UACGAAGGGGGCUAGCGUUGCUCGGAAUCACUGGGCGUAAAGGGUGCGUAGGCGGGUCUUUAAGUCAGGGGUGAAAUCCUGGAGCUCAACUCCAGAACUGCCUUUGAUACUGAAGAUCUUGAGUUCGGGAGAGGUGAGUGGAACUGCGAGUGUAGAGGUGAAAUUCGUAGAUAUUCGCAAGAACACCAGUGGCGAAGGCGGCUCACUGGCCCGAUACUGACGCUGAGGCGCGAGAGCGUGGGGAGCAAACGGG